RNAcentral lists this unclassified non-coding RNA (3344 nucleotides) under Acyrthosiphon pisum (pea aphid). RNAcentral describes it as "uncharacterized LOC107885560, transcript variant X2". The record is from RNAcentral. Lineage: Eukaryota; Metazoa; Arthropoda; Insecta; Hemiptera; Aphididae.
UCUUCCUGCAGCCGACGGUGACACAUUGGCGCAAAAUAUUAUUGUACAUCAGCGUUUCUCUUUUGAAAACAUGGAGUAGCGACCGUUGAAGUUUCCCGGCGACGCCCGAGGGAAGAACGUCUGGUGAAAAAGGCACACUCUAGAACCGCGGUGCCGGUUGCGUUGAAAUGAACUGACUCAUAUUUGUAUAUAAUAUAACCAUCGCAGUGACGAGAGUUCGAGAAAAAAGUAUUUUACAAAGUUCAAACAAUGUCGACUACUAUCAAAGAAUUUUUAAUAGAAAGAUCCAUACCAGAUGCCGACUAUAUAGAUCAUGAAAUGGAAGUUAAAAAGGUGAGAACUAUUAAUCGUGGUGUUACAAGAAAAGUACGAGUACAAAAAACAUUUUACAAGUCAGAUUUGAUUGAUGUGGCUAAAGAAUUAUUUUUUCCUGAUGGAAGAUCAUCUAAAGGAAUGAUUGGUGAAUUUUCAAUAAAUUUAUUUGACUUCCAGAAAAAUUAUUUACCUGAUGACAUGUCAGUAGGUGAAUUAUAUGAUAAAACAGGUUUGAAUUCAUUAAGAUUUUAUUUGGCAACAAAGCAGACAAAUUCAACUAUUUGGUUCCCUGUUGGUAAAAAAAAAAAAAAAAAAACAUACUGAUACUUCUAGUAUAGUUCAAUUUUAAUUUUUAAUACUAAUUUCAACUCGUUAGAUUUUUUUCUAUAUUUUGUAGGAAAAACUUUUUCAUUUUUUUGUUUUAUUAGCACUUUUAAGACAUUAAAAUGCUAGUUAAUUUUGAGGAAUUAAGUAAAGUAAUUUGAAACCGUAAUACGUAAACUAUCCAAAACGUCCAAAAUCUAUUUCCUACAAAUCACAGAAAAGAGGCUGACGAAUUCAAAUAUUUUUUUUCAAAAUUGAAAUUUAAUCAUUAGAAGUAUGUUAAUUUUUCGCCAGCAUAUUAUUCAUUGUCGCGAGUGAAGAAAAACAUUUUUUGAGAGUGCUUUCGUUGACUUGUGCACACGCGUACGUGUGCUAUGGAACAUGGUCGUGGCCGUUCGCCUGCAGCCGAUUGAUAUAGCUGUUCUAAAAACAAUGUCCACCGAUGAUCGCAUAUGAAAAAUGUUCUUACCUAAUUAAUAUGGAGAUCGUUUAGCGUUGUUAAUUUUUUCAAAACAAACCAGAUUAUCCAAACGAAAAAGCUCCCUCAUUGAUAAGUUGAUGUCUAAGGUAAAAAAAAAUAAUGACGACAUUAAUGAGUCAAAACCGAAACUCCAAAUAAAAGGCAGCCUAGUCUUCAAAAAUAGAUCACUAGCGAGAUAUGUUGAAAUUGGAUGGCUUAAUUUUGAUAUGUCGCCGUAUAAACAGGUAUUAUUAUAAUAAAGGGAAAUUCAUGGUUAUGUUUUCAAGUAAUUUUUGUUUUUUGUGUUAUUUACACCAAAAAUAUCAAAAAAAACCUACGUAUAGUUUUAAUAUUAUCACGGUUAUACCGUCCUCGCUAUUCUCACCGUCGCUUGGAUUCGUUUUUUUUUUACGUAAAUAGUAAUAUUGAAUCAAUUUCGUCAGCAUUUACAGCUUAGUUCUGUGCACACGUCUGGUUUUAUUGCCACUGCGCCACCGCAAAUAUGACGUAAAUAAUAUUAUAUGAUAGAAUUGUGCAGUCAUAGCAACUGACUCAAUGACGAUGUAAACCCAAUACCUAAAACUGUACAGCAAAUCGGUACUCAGUGGUUACCAACUUUCCCCCUUUUUUUUUUGUUACUUAAAAAAACUGUCAAUAUAUACGUUUGACUGUGUGAGCCACCGCACAUUGCCUUUUUUUGUAAUUUUUUGUAUCACAUUUCAGUACAACAGACAUACACACGGUUAUUCACAGUAUUAAUAAUAAUUAUAUUUAGUACAUUAUACUAAUAAUAAUUUGUUUAAAUUAUAUUACACGUUUCUAACGCCUAAAAUUAAAUUGUCGUGUUUUCAACGUGACGCUUGUUUUUCUAUAUGAACAAAAAUAAUUCGAAGACUUAACUGAGACAAACAAGUCCACCACAACACAAAAUGUAUAGUGACAAAUAAUAUAAUAUUAUGAAGAUUUUAUGUUUAAAACGAAGAUAUUAAACGAAGGAGUUUUCACAUACGUUUAGGCAUUUGAAAUUAGAAACAUCAGUAUUUACUAGCAUUGUGCCAUUGUAUUAUUGUAAAAUACAACAUUGUCAAUAUGAUAUUUUAAAAUAUUAAGAAAUACCUACUUACUCUUUAUAAAACCCAACAAUUUAGAAUUGUUUUUAAGUGAAUCUGUAAAAUUCUGCUGUAUUCAGUGUAGGCCUGGGAUCUAAAGGGCCCAGAAGGUAAGUUAUUCAAAGUAGUUAUAUGAUAAUCACAUAUUAUGUGAUAUGGACACUAAAUGUCUCGGUCAGAAUGGUCAGUUUUGUAUUUUUUGGCCCGGCACUCAGUGUUAAAAUAAUUUUAAAAAAUUGGUACAUUUUUUUAAUUUUUGUUUUUUCAAAUACCAUUUUUUUUUAUUAUACUUCAUAGUAGAAUAAUGUCAUAAUAUUAUAUUAUUCGAUAGAUAUAAAAUAAUCACUGCUCAGGAAUUGAGUACAGGCUAUUCUUUUACUAAAAAAAUCAAGUCACUUUAAUAUUAUACGAGCGUUUUCAAUAAACGUCCAAUGAUUCAAAUUCUAUAAUUUUAGUCGUUAGACAUUGUCGAUGAGCAAAUAUAAAAAAUCCAAAAACAUAAAUUCAUAUAUUUAUACAUUCAUAUGUAUAUAUAUUUAAGAUUCUAUACACGGUCGACGGGUAUAGUCGACAUAUAUAACUCUGUCCUGGUCGCCGGUGUCGACUACACGUCCACAAAUAUAGUGUUCACUUUGACGGUUCUUAAUUUUGACUGGCGAUGAGAUAACGUUUUCAAAUAUAUUAUAGGCCAUCAGGUACUGUCUCAAGAAUCUAAUGGUAUAAUUGGUUUUUAAUUUUUGUUUGUUUUUAGUGCAUGUAUUUAUUUUUUACCCGAAAUGACAAUGUCUUCGAACGAUCGUAAACAAUAACAUACCAUUUUAUAAUAUACUCUAUUAUUGUUGUUACAUCUGGAUGUAUAAAGCGUGUUUUUUCAAUAUACAGAAUGAUUAAAAAAUAUAAAAUUAUUUUCAUCACAAAUCAUUGAAUUUAUUUUUGAAAUUAGAAUUAUUACGAGCAGAACCAUCAGUAUUUAUAUUUUAUUUACUUUUACACUUUAAUUAUUUGUAUAACAAUAAGAUUGUUCUUAAUAAGUAAACCCGUGUAUAAAUUAUUUAUUUUUUAGUUUUUUAUUGCCAAAAUUGCAAUAUGUUUUAUGCGCCUUUCAAAAAUAUAAUAUAAAAAAAAAAGGUGGGUAA